Molecule: ribosomal RNA, 666 nt
Filed under: Priestia megaterium
Lineage: Bacteria; Bacillati; Bacillota; Bacilli; Caryophanales; Bacillaceae
Description: bacterial SSU rRNA
Rfam family: Bacterial small subunit ribosomal RNA
Source: RNAcentral
AAUGCAGUCGAGCGAACUGAUUAGAAGCUUGCUUCUAUGACGUUAGCGGCGGACGGGUGAGUAACACGUGGGCAACCUGCCUGUAAGACUGGGAUAACUUCGGGAAACCGAAGCUAAUACCGGAUAGGAUCUUCUCCUUCAUGGGAGAUGAUUGAAAGAUGGUUUCGGCUAUCACUUACAGAUGGGCCCGCGGUGCAUUAGCUAGUUGGUGAGGUAACGGCUCACCAAGGCAACGAUGCAUAGCCGACCUGAGAGGGUGAUCGGCCACACUGGGACUGAGACACGGCCCAGACUCCUACGGGAGGCAGCAGUAGGGAAUCUUCCGCAAUGGACGAAAGUCUGACGGAGCAACGCCGCGUGAGUGAUGAAGGCUUUCGGGUCGUAAAACUCUGUUGUUAGGGAAGAACAAGUACGAGAGUAACUGCUCGUACCUUGACGGUACCUAACCAGAAAGCCACGGCUAACUACGUGCCAGCAGCCGCGGUAAUACGUAGGUGGCAAGCGUUAUCCGGAAUUAUUGGGCGUAAAGCGCGCGCAGGCGGUUUCUUAAGUCUGAUGUGAAAGCCCACGGCUCAACCGUGGAGGGUCAUUGGAAACUGGGGGAACUUGAGUGCAGAAGAGAAAAGCGGAAUUCCACGUGUAGCGGUGAAAUGCGUAGAGAUGUGG